Molecule: ribosomal RNA, 134 nt
Filed under: Aerococcus christensenii
Lineage: Bacteria; Bacillati; Bacillota; Bacilli; Lactobacillales; Aerococcaceae
Description: partial 23S ribosomal RNA
Rfam family: Bacterial large subunit ribosomal RNA
Source: RNAcentral
CCCCCUCGAGAUGAGAUUUCCCAUCUCAAUAAGAGAGUAAGACCCCUGAAAGACGAUCAGGUAGAUAGGUUCGGAGUGGAAGCCUAGUAAUAGGUGAAGCGGACGAAUACUAAUCGGUCGAGGACUUAUCCAAA